GUAGAAAACCACUCAUUAAAUCGUCGUGCUGAACACGGGAAUUUAUUUAACCGCUCGGACUCGCUGCACACAAUCCUCUGCUUUAUCAAAUACAAAAUGGGGUUACGUCUCAAUUGACACCCUAUUCCCUAUAUAGUACACUACUUUAGACCAGAGCCCUAUGGAACCCUAUUCCCUAUAUAGUGCACUACUUUAGACCAGGGCCCACCACGGUGUUCUGAUCAACAGUAGUGUGCUAUAUAGGGAACAGGGCUCUAUUUGGGGAUACUUUCAAUGAUGAUGAUAUUGCUGUGGGUUGUUUUCCCAGUAGAAUGAUGCAGAGACGGCUAUUCUAGCAACUCUCAGACUACCUGGAUUGUCUAAUCCAGUGCUGUCCAACCCUCUUCCUGGAGAUCUACUGUCCUGUAGGUUUUCAGCCCAACCCUCUUCCUGGAGAUCUACUGUCCUGUAGGUUAUCAGUCCAACCCUCUUCCUGGAGAUCUACUGUCCUGUAGGUUAUCAGUCCAACCCUCUUCCUGGAGAUCUACUGUCCUGUAGGUUUUCAGUCCUGACCUAGUUAUUGUGAUGAUGUUUGCGUCCUAAAUGGCAAUCUAUUCCCUUUAUAGUGCCAUGUUUUAGGACCAAGAUCCACAGGGCUUCAGAAUCUCCUGAAAGAGCCACAAGAUGGCGCUGUAAUGUUUCAUUACUACCAAAUCCUACUUCCUGUGAUCAAAAUCUAGUUUUGGGGAGGAUAAUCUGACAGCCACCAGUGAUAGGGAACACUGUUACCUCUCUCUCCAUCCAUGGUGUCUGAAUAGAGGAGCAGACUGAAGAGGAGAUUCAGCAACUCUUAGAGGAUAGUGGAAGUGGAUUAAAAAAUAGAUUUACUUCAUUGUUAAACCCAUUUGAGUUUAGGUCCGUUGCCUUCAUCAGUAAUUUAUGAUUUAUUGUUAAGAAAUGGGUGUCCAUCAGCAAACACAAUGACUACUCCGCCACACUGAGAUCCUAUAUGUAUGUAUUUACU
This is a long non-coding RNA of Oncorhynchus tshawytscha (Chinook salmon), 1003 nucleotides long. Lineage: Eukaryota; Metazoa; Chordata; Actinopteri; Salmoniformes; Salmonidae. The record is from Ensembl.